This 149-nucleotide unclassified non-coding RNA is filed under the name uncultured fungus. Its description in RNAcentral is "sequence contains ITS1, 5.8S rRNA gene". Lineage: Eukaryota; Fungi. The record is from RNAcentral.
CCGAGUGAGGGCGAACCGCCCGACCUCCCACCCUAUGUGAUUAUACCAUGUUGCCUCGGGGGUACGCCCGCGCCUCGCGGCGCCGGCGCCCCCGGUGGACCAUUUAACUCCGCGUCUCAUGCGUCGGUUUAAAUUGAUGAAUAUUAUCA